Molecule: long non-coding RNA, 687 nt
Organism: Acanthopagrus latus (yellowfin seabream)
Lineage: Eukaryota; Metazoa; Chordata; Actinopteri; Spariformes; Sparidae
Exons: 2
Source: RefSeq, a predicted model, not a curated record
UGCUGGUGCUGCUGGUGCUGCUGGUGCUGCUGGUGGACAAUAGGACGGCGGGCGGCUCGCGAGGGGCCCAGGCUCCACGAAGAUAAGCGCAUCAGCCAUUACCGGGUUCCUCCUUCAGACCUAUUAGGUCUUGCAAGGACUUCAAACACCAAUUUGUUCUGCAAAUAGCCCAUUCAAUUUGUGCCUGCCAAAGAGAGACACCUCUCUCCCUCUCUGCAGUAAUUGAAUCUUCAAAGGGACAUUUUCCUCCAUUUCUGUCAGGUAUUAGAGUGAUGAAUAGCAAACGGUCAUUUGAACAGAAAAGAGAGGAUACAUGUUUAUCCAUUUUCAGUUAGACGCUCAUCAUACGCCUUGAUGAUUGCAUGGCUGGAGACUGAAUGGCAGCGCGGCGGGGUCUUCAAUGGAAGGACAGACGAGUUGAAAUAUCUUUUUUCUUUUUGCAUGAAAGAUAAAUUCUUGGGCACUUUGCGAGUGAGAGACGGUUAUAAUUCUGUAAUUCAGACAUAAAGACGCUCCUGGAAUGCUUCAUUGGUUUAAAAAAAAAAAGAAAAAAAAAAAGAAAAUGAGCGACUCUACAAUGAAUUUAAGGAGUCUUUUUAAAUCUUCAAUAUUUUUAUUAAUUAAAUACACCAUACUGGAGCAAAUGUCUCGGAAAAUAUCACAAAUAAAUUUCUCUUUCGUUCAGCA